This is a long non-coding RNA of Cyprinus carpio (common carp), 1067 nucleotides long. Lineage: Eukaryota; Metazoa; Chordata; Actinopteri; Cypriniformes; Cyprinidae. The record is from Ensembl.
CAUGGAGCCGCUGCACUUCCCUUUGUCCCGCAGAUUUGUUUUUGUCCAUCCUGGCUGAACUUUCUAGCGUGACACUAAUAAGUCCAUAGCAUCAUAUAUGCGGCUUAGCAGGGCGCAGGGGGCAUAUCCUAACAAAUGUGCGGAGUCAAUUGGUUUCCCAAGGGGACGCUACUGAGAAGCUGGCUCACCAAGUCCCGACCUAGACUGCUGCUGCUCAUCGCCGGCUUGAAGAGGCCUCAAGUCACCCUCAUGCGCAGGAAAAGGAUGAAACGCACAAAAGUAGCAAAGGCCACGUAAGCGAACCUGUAGUCAUAUGCCGCAUUUCACUUGAGUUGCUGCCACAGAGAGAAGCUCCAUCUGCGGUCAACAUGAAUGCAGAUCCAGAAACAGAGAAAGCAUCUCAGUCGUCUCUGCCAAACAUACGAACUAAACGCCAAAGCAGAAGCAGAAGAGGCUCAGAGUUUGUUGUGAAUAUGAUGGAUCUACCACAAAGAACCAGACCCCCCGACUAAGAUCCAGAGCCUCCCAGUGACAUUUGUUCAUCUUUCUCUUAAAUACACUUCUGUCAUGCUUCAAUUCACUACACAGCGUGUGACAGCACAUUAUUGCUAUUGCCUUUGGUUGACAGUGCUUUCCUUUCCUGUGUUCCUGUGUUCAGAGACAAUCCUCUGGUCAGGAUUUCAGGGACUUUUAUUUUUCGAUUCCUAAUGAUGCGUGUGGGUGAAAAAGAUGAAGAAAAAUAAUGAAAAAAAGAAAGAAAAACGUAUAAAUGCCAUGAGCUAGUUAACCAACAGCACACCAGUGGUUUUUUCAUACUGUUGAGUCGUCAGACUGACAGCUGACGGUCCAUUAUUAUGUCCUGAGGAGUAAAAUAAUUCAUUUAAAUGUAAAUAUCCAAUGAAAAAAAAAAAAUAUGAUAGUCAUAUUAUUCCAAAUGGGCCAUUAUGUGAUCCUAUUAUCAUUUAACCAAAAAAUUUCAUAGAAACAUGAUUGAGUAUUUUUUUAAAAAAAGUAAUUAAUUAAUUAAUUAAAAUAAUAAUAAUAAAAAAUCAAGCAGCUAUUUGACA